This 1164-nucleotide ribosomal RNA is filed under the name uncultured Francisella sp. RNAcentral describes it as "bacterial SSU rRNA". It matches the Rfam family "Bacterial small subunit ribosomal RNA", at positions 134 to 1297 of the family's 1533-position model. Lineage: Bacteria; Pseudomonadati; Pseudomonadota; Gammaproteobacteria; Thiotrichales; Francisellaceae. The record is from RNAcentral.
UUGAGGGGGAUACCAGUUGGAAACGACUGUUAAUACCGCAUAAUAUCUGUGGAUUAAAGGUGGCUUUCGGGCUGUCGCAGAUGGAUGAGCCUGCGUUGGAUUAGCUAGUUGGUGGGGUAAGGGCCCACCAAGGCUACGAUCCAUAGCUGAUUUGAGAGGAUGAUCAGCCACAUUGGGACUGAGACACGGCCCAAACUCCUACGGGAGGCAGCAGUGGGGAAUAUUGGACAAUGGGGGCAACCCUGAUCCAGCAAUGCCAUGUGUGUGAAGAAGGCCCUAGGGUUGUAAAGCACUUUAGUUGGGGAGGAAAGCCUCAAGGUUAAUAGCCUUGGGGAGGACGUUACCCAAAGAAUAAGCACCGGCUAACUCCGUGCCAGCAGCCGCGGUAAUACGGGGGGUGCAAGCGUUAAUCGGAAUUACUGGGCGUAAAGGGUCUGUAGGUGGUUUGUUAAGUCAGAUGUGAAAGCCCAGGGCUCAACCUUGGAACUGCAUUUGAUACUGGCAAACUAGAGUACGGUAGAGGAAUGGGGAAUUUCUGGUGUAGCGGUGAAAUGCGUAGAGAUCAGAAGGAACACCAAUGGCGAAGGCAACAUUCUGGACCGAUACUGACACUGAGGGACGAAAGCGUGGGGAUCAAACAGGAUUAGAUACCCUGGUAGUCCACGCUAUAAACGAUGAGUACUAGCUGUUGGAGUCGGUGUAAAGGCUCUAGUGGCGCAGCUAACGCGAUAAGUACUCCGCCUGGGGACUACGGCCGCAAGGCUAAAACUCAAAGGAAUUGACGGGGACCCGCACAAGCGGUGGAGCAUGUGGUUUAAUUCGAUGCAACGCGAAGAACCUUACCUGGUCUUGACAUCCUGCGAACUUUCUAGAGAUAGAUUGGUGCCUUCGGGAACGCAGUGACAGGUGCUGCACGGCUGUCGUCAGCUCGUGUUGUGAAAUGUUGGGUUAAGUCCCGCAACGAGCGCAACCCCUAUUGAUAGUUACCAUCAUUAAGUUGGGUACUCUAUUGAGACUGCCGCUGACAAGGCGGAGGAAGGUGGGGACGACGUCAAGUCACCAUGGCCCUUACGACCAGGGCUACACACGUGCUACAAUGGGUAUUACAGAGGGCUGCGAAGGUGCGAGCUGGAGCGAAACUCAAAAAGGUACUCUUAGUCCAAG